This 899-nucleotide ribosomal RNA is filed under the name uncultured bacterium. RNAcentral describes it as "SSU rRNA". It matches the Rfam family "Bacterial small subunit ribosomal RNA", at positions 8 to 916 of the family's 1533-position model. The record is from RNAcentral.
AGAGUUUGAUCAUGGCUCAGGAUGAACGCUGGCGGCGUGCCUAAUACAUGCAAGUCGAACGAGGUGCCUUUGUAGCAAUACGAGGGUAUCCUAGUGGCGAACGGGUGAGUAACGCGUUGGUGACCUGCCCCGAAGUGUGGGAUAACAGUCCGAAAGGACUGCUAAUACCGCAUGCGGCCAUCGGGUUUAGAAACCGAUGUCCAAAGCAGCAAUGCGCUUUGGGAGGGACCUGCGUCCCAUCAGCUAGUUGGUAGGGUAACGGCCUACCAAGGCGACGACGGGUAGGGGACCUGAGAGGGUGACCCCCCACAAUGGAACUGAAAUACGGUCCAUACACCUACGGGUGGCAGCAGUAGGGAAUAUUGCACAAUGGGCGAAAGCCUGAUGCAGCAACGCCGCGUGCACGAUGAAGGUCUUCGGAUCGUAAAGUGCUUUUCUGGGAGAUGAGAAUGGACAGUAUCCCAGGAAUAAGUCUCGGCUAACUACGUGCCAGCAGCCGCGGUAAAACGUAGGAGGCAAGCGUUAUCCGGAUUCACUGGGCGUAAAGCGCGUGCAGGCGGCUCGGUAAGUUGGGCGUGAAAUCUCCUGGCUUAACUAGGAGAGGCCGUCCAAUACUACCGGGCUAGAGAGCAGUAGAGGAAGAUGGAAUUCCCGGUGUAGUGGUGAAAUGCGUAGAUAUCGGGAGGAACACCAGUGGCGAAGGCGAUCUUCUGGACUGUUUCUGACGCUCAGACGCGAAAGCUAGGGUAGUAAACGGGAUUAGAGACCCCGGUAAUCCUAGCCGUAAACGAUGUGAACUUGGCGUCGGUAGCUUAAACACUAUCGGUGCCGCAGCAAACGCGAUAAGUUCACCGCCUGGGGACUACGAUUGCAAGAUUAAAACUCAAAUGAAUUGACGG